AAAGUUGAAUUGAAUAAAUAAAAAAUACAGAACAUUGAAUAUGGUAUAUGAUUUACUCACCGCACCAUAAACAUUUAUUGUUACUUUCCCGUUUGCUUGAAUCCUAGCUACAAAAGGUAAUGAUUAAAGGUAAUCACCGCUAUAAUAAAAACAAGAGCAUUAUAAAGUUGUUUCAGAUUGACGAAUUGGGUCUUGAACUUAACUUAAAACACUAUGUAAAUGCGUUUCGAUGCAUCUGUGUUGUCUCAAAAGUAGUUCGAACAAUUAGACGCUGAACUUAUCUACGAUUAAUUAUUUGAAAGCUCACACUCAACAAUACCAACUGUAUUUUAGUUUGUUGCGCUAAAUAUUUUUUGUUUAAUGUGCUAA
Non-coding RNA from Hydra vulgaris (swiftwater hydra), 369 nucleotides. NCBI's taxonomy places the organism in Eukaryota, Metazoa, Cnidaria, Hydrozoa, Anthoathecata, Hydridae. The record is from RefSeq and is a predicted model, not a curated record.